Molecule: ribosomal RNA, 253 nt
Filed under: uncultured bacterium
Lineage: Bacteria
Description: partial 16S ribosomal RNA
Rfam family: Bacterial small subunit ribosomal RNA
Source: RNAcentral
UACGUAGGGUGCGAGCGUUGUCCGGAAUUAUUGGGCGUAAAGAGCUCGUAGGCGGUUUGUCACGUCGGAUGUGAAAUCCCGGGGCUUAACUCCGGGCCUGCAUUCGAUACGGGCUGACUAGAGUUCGGCAGGGGAGACUGGAAUUCCUGGUGUAGCGGUGAAAUGCGCAGAUAUCAGGAGGAACACCGGUGGCGAAGGCGGGUCUCUGGGCCGAUACUGACGCUGAGGAACGAAAGCUAGGGGAGCAAACAGG